RNAcentral lists this ribosomal RNA (443 nucleotides) under uncultured bacterium. RNAcentral's name for it is "partial 16S ribosomal RNA". It matches the Rfam family "Bacterial small subunit ribosomal RNA", at positions 338 to 795 of the family's 1533-position model. The record is from RNAcentral.
CCUACGGGUGGCUGCAGUGGGGAAUAUUGGUCAAUGGGCGCAAGCCUGACCCAGCAACGCCGCGUGAAGGAAGAAGGCUCUCGGGUUGUAAACUUCCUUUAUCAGGGACGAAGCAAGUGACGGUACCUGAUGAAUAAGCCACGGCUAAGUACGUGCAAGCAGCCGCGGGAAUACGUCGGGAGCAAGCGUUAUCCGGAUUUACUGGGUGUAAAGGGCGUUUAGGCGGGAGUGCAAGUCAGAUGGGAAAACUAUGGGGUCAACCCAUAGCCUGCAUUUGAAACUGGCCGUCUUGAGUGCUGGAGAGGCAAGCGGAAUUCGGGGUGUAGCGGUGAAAUGCGUAGAUAUACGGAGGAACACCAGUGGCGAAGGCAGAUUACUGGACUGUAACUGACGCUGAGGCGCGAAAGUGUGGGGAGCAAACAGGAUUAGAUACCCCAGUAGUC